CGGCGGGGCCGGGCCUGCGCACCGGGGCGGUGGAAGAGCAGCAGCGCUCCGAGGCGCUGCAGCAGCUCGGGCAGCCGGUGCCGCCGCAGGGGUGCAGAUGUUUGGGGCCUGUUAGUGUGGAGAAGAGUAAUGGCAUCCCUCUCAAUGCACACAAAUAUCUCAAUGACUGGUGCCAAGAGGAUGUGUCAGACUCGUUUCAGUGGUGCCAGCGGCAGGACGGGUAGCACCGGCAGCGGAACAAAACACACGUUCCACCUCAACAUGAGGAGAACUCCUUCACGCCGAGGUGGCGGAGCGCUGACCAGGCUGUCCAGGGCGGUGGCGGAUUCCCUCUGGAGACAUUCCGAACCCGCCUGGCACGGCAGCAGUGACCCUGCAGUGACCCUGCUGGGCAGCGGGGAUGAUCUCCGGGGGUCCCUCCCAACCCCGAGGGUUCUGUGAUUCUGUUCUCAGCUCCAGCCACGUCUCCUUCCACCGGCGGUACCACCUUCACCUCCCACCGCUCUCAGGUUCAUCCCUGCGGUGUGAGGGGCUGCCGGGAUGUUCCCAAUGUUCUACACCCGUAGGAGAUGUAAAACCAGUGGCCAGCAACUGAGAGUAAGAGAGUUUACAUUUUAAAAGCAUUAUUGAGUCUUGCAACAUAGCCAGUGCAGAGAAGAGACAUCGAAGAAGCUUUUUACUGUACUACAUACUGAUAAUAAGAAAACCAUAAUCAAGUAAAGUGUCCCACUGAAAAAAAAUUAAGGAAAUCUACAAAGAUAUAACUAUCUGCUAUCAAAUAAAAUCAGACAAUGAUAAAUGAGCAUAUAGUAAAGAAGAAUAGUAUUCCUGUGAAAAGUCUAGCUAAAUCUAUAGCUAAAUAUAUUUAACUAUUUGCCAAAACUAAAAUAUCACAAGACAUUAAUAGAAUUCACUUAAUUUUUCUUUGAUAAAGUGGGAGAAAGGCAGCAUCCAAAGCUGCAGAGAUUGUACGGCCAUGUGCUGUCUGUAUUCUCUGUUAUUUUAAACUGACUAGGUUACCUGCUUUUAGUCUCAAUUAGGGCUAGAGAAUUAGGUUUCUAACAGUUGCCUCUUAUGACAGUUGCCAGGCAGUGAUGGAAACCUCCUUUUUCUGAGUAAAACAUUCCAUAGUUAAUCAAUCCAUUCCUGCACUUGUCUUUCUAUGCCUUUCUGCAGAGUUUGUAAAGCAUUAGCAAAAAAUUCUCCUAAAAAAGAGCAAUAGGAGAAAGUGUAGAUUGAAAUGUGGAGAAGUACAAACAGAUGAAGAGCUGGUUAGCAGAGGAGAAAUAAAGAUGUGGAAAAUACAUUCUUGAAAAUGAGAACCUAAGGAUAGGAAGAUUGACAGGAAAAGAAGGAGCAAGUGAAAUACUGGUAGGUAGGUAGGUCAGUGUUUGGGUCAAGGAAACCAGCAUUUGGCAAAUAAUGUUUCUCCUUUAGUAGUCAACAAAGAUAACCAGUAUGAAGUGCAUAUUAAGGGAAAAAUUUUAAGAAUAAGCACAGGAACUACAGACUUAAGUGUAUCUCUCUGAGGAAUGGUUUAAAAAAAAUCACAGAGCAAAUCCCAGUUUGUUUUACAACUAGAAAUGUAUUUUUUAAAAUUCUAUUUCACUAUUAGGGAAGCACAAUUUAUUUACUUGAAAAAAUAUUCUGAUGAUGAAUCAUGUAUUUAUUAUUUACAUAAUAAAUUAUUAUCCUCAGUUCAUAUAAUUAUAGUACCAGGUAUAGAUAUAGAUCCUAAAAGUAUGAUAUUUCAGGAUAAUUUGUCAGGAGCUCCCAUGAGCUAUUGUAAGGCAAAUUGAACUUCUGUGGCUGAGAAAAACAGGAUUUGACAAACACCUGAAAGUAUUCUUGUUCCAUUAUAGAGAUGUUGCUGUUUUAAUAAAGGACUAAAGAUCCAAAUUAUUUUCAUCUGUUUAAAGUGUCCUGGCUAUAUAAAUUAGAUUUCAUUAAAAGGCUUAAUACCUGUUGUGAUAGAAGCUGAGCCUUCUACAGAGUAUCACUAGUAAUUUACGCCUUUUAUCUAAUUUAAUAGGGCUAAAUAGACUACAGUGAGCCUUUAAGAGUUGUAUUGAAGAGAAACAGGGACUGCAGGUCAGAUAUGCAGCUGGUUGCAAAACAACCACUUGUCUUGUAGGGAAAAACAGGCAGAUGGACUUGUUCUUUCAAGUGGGAGUGUCAGAAGAGUGAAGUCUAGGGCUAUGGGAAAAGACAGGAGCAAUAUGGGCUGGGAAAGAUCCCGAGAUGUGCCACAGGCUUCCCGUGCACACAGGUGCUGAGAGCAGCUCCUUGGAGCUUUACUUACCUCUGCUGCUCCCCAGCAUGAGACUGGGAAGCUCUCUGCUGGGGAGCAAAGGUGAGCUGCAGGGAUUGAAUGGAGGUGCUGCCAUUGCUGUAGCUGCUUUGGAAGAGUCCACUGCAGCUUCCCUCUGGGUGUCCCCAAGGACUUCCAAGAUACAGGUGAGUUCCUCAUCAGGGGAUUGUAUACUGUACAUUUACAGAGGAAAGUGCUCAACUAUAGAAAUAUUGAGCUUCUGAGUAUUAAUUAUCCCAACAGCCAGAACCACUUUUUUUGUUGUUUUUACUGUACAAAACAGUAGAAUAAUUAAAUUGAAAUUGCCCUCUGGAGAUCAUGUGCUCAACUCCCUUUCCUCUUCAAACUGGGCUAAUUUCAAGGACUGGCUCACAUUGUUCACAGCCUUGUCAAGUUGUUACUGUCUCCAGAAUGGAGACUCCACAACAUCAUGUUCUGUGUUCCAGUGCUCAGCUGCACAGGAUUGGUACCAGCCUGUAUCCUUGAAUCAAGCCCAGCUUUUCCCAUAGGCUUCUAGAGAUGCAGGAUAAGCAGUCCUUCACUCAGACGUCCUGGGGAUAGCACCUCACUGCCUAAACUAUGCCCAAAGCUCUCAGCACAGAUCUCUCCAGUUAAAAACUGAAGCAAAGGUACAAUGAGUGUACCUCUGUCCUCUCCCUGUCCUCUGUCACUGGGUUACCUACCACAUGUAUGGGGCCCACAUUUACUUACUUUUCCUUCCAUGUUAAUGUACUGGAAGUGUCCUUCACAUCCCUCACUAAUUCCAAUUCCAGCUGAGCUUUGGCUUUCCUGUUUCUGUUUCAGCACGCCUGAGCAGUGUUUAUUCCUCUAGGGCAGUCCACCCCUGCUUCCACAGUCUGUGCACUUGCCUUUUGCCUGUGACUUAGUCAGGAGCUCUCCAUUCAGCUAUGCUGGCCUUCUCCCAUGUCUGCUCAGCUUCCUGCAGAUCAGAAUGGACUGUUCCUGUGCUUCAGCUAGCUCUCCUGGGCCCUUUAGGUCAGCCUUCUGUGAGAUUCUGCCAACAAAAUGUCUGCAGGAGACAAAGUCUGCUCUCCUAAAUUCCAGGAUUGCAGUUCAACUAUUUAAUCUUCGUCACUUCCCUCAGAAUCACAAGCUUUGCUAUAUUGCAGUCACUGCUGCCAAGGCUGCCACCAGUGUCAGUGCUCCCAGCAGCCCUUCCUUAUGUGUGAGCAGCAUGUCUAGCACAGCCCCACUCGGCUGGUUGAGUCCUUCUGUCAAAAAAUUGUCCUUGAUGUACUACAGAAGUAGCUGGAUCACCACUUGUGCCAUCCCAGUCCUCUCUGCAAGAACAAGAGCCCAUAGUCAUCAGUCUCAGCUGUGAAUGUUGGCUUUUUAUUUUCCUUUCCCCCAGUCAGCUGCAAAAUAAAGGCUAAACCUGCCAUCAGAAAUCAUGUACUGGGAAAAAUAAAUCAGGAAUUACAAAAAUACUUCUUGUUUCUGAGUCAAGGAGAAGAGUAAGUCACAACAUGCUUAGGUUGAUAUCAGAAGACUUUACUGUAACAGAACUGUCCACUUCUCAGUUGCCUGAAAAGCCACAAAACUGAUUUCCUGGCACUAUGGUUGGACUCCUGCUGAAGACAAAGGGGAGAAAAGAAGUUACUUGAGCAGGAGCUGCAUUCUUUGAGAUACACAGUAUAUCUUCCUGUGACAGUAUGGCUCUGAGCACAUAGCUCUUCAAACACAGAUGCUUUUUUUCCAGCAACAUCUAUAGAAUGAGUUCACACUGCACAGGGUGGGAGAGCUCAGAGGUGCAUCUCCAUUGCCUCAGUGUCUCUGACACCCCAUAAUUCAAAUAGACAUUUCGAGCAACAAAAAGGUGGGCAUGCAGUUAGGAAGCAGCAGUAUGGAUUGUGCAUCUCCAAAGGUUUGUGUUUCUGAAGAGUAACCCCUGUCUUUUCCUGUACUUGACUGCAAAUCCACACAUCUACUCUAACCAGUCACGUCAGUCAGUACUUUGUAAAAGCAGAGUUACCAGGAAGAGCCCUUGUUGGUGUUACAAACACAAAUCCUAAAGAAAAGUAACAUGGAAGGAGUAGCUCAAGGCAAAAUUAUAAAAACAACAAAAAACCCCAAAUGUCCAAGAAACCACACCACAAACUCCCCCAGCUGAUUAUGGCUCAAAAUAAGAGAAAACUAAAGAAAAAUGAAGGCAAAUAAUUGCAAUUUAAGAGUGGAGCUGACCAGAGGGGAAGGUUUCUUGUGUAGGCUGUUGAGAACAGCUUAGAACUGAGGCAAGAUAUAUAUAUAUGUAUGUAUGUAUAUAUAUAUAUGUAUGUAUGUAUAUUCUGCAGCUGUGGUAGAAAAGGCAAAGAGGUUGACCUGUGUAGUCCCAGUAGUGACCUAUCUCACUUACCUGUGCCACAGCAUUCCAAAUCAGCACUGAGGAAAUUUCCCAGUGGGAAGGGAUGAUGUUUUCUCUUGUGCAGUGAUGUCCUCUCCAUCACCAUUUCAUCUGCUGCCUCAGUAGGGCCGGGCUGGAAACGAGCUGACAUAGACACAGGACUGCCAGGGCUGCACUCGAGUUCAUCACGGCAUUCUUUGUACUUACACCAAAAGGCCUUCACACCUGUGGAUUCUGUAAAUGCACUUUGUCCAUGACAGACAGCUUUUCUGAAAAACUACCCUUGUGGUGUCACAUCAACCAUGUCAGCAACUGCUCCAAGUUAAUCAAGCCCAGACUGAAUUUCAGAGCUCAGUAUGUCACAUUUGGGAAAUCAGCAAAGGGCACAGCUGACGGUAGUGCCCCAUCUCAAAUCCCUACUGGUGUCCUUACUCUCAAAUCAAGUUCUCCUGGAACCUGAUUAUUAUUGCUGGCAAACUUCUCCUAAAGCUUCUCCUUCUCCUUUCCAUAGGGACAACAGAUCACAGAGUAGAGCUAAAUAUUUUUGGGUCAGCCAUAAACAACAAAACCCCCACACAAAAGAAUCCAGCCGGUGUCAUUUGUGGUGCCUUACAAAAACAGCUCAGUACUGCCUGCCAUGGAACCUCCAGGCAAAGGGCAGACUGGCACCUACUGCUCAAUGAUCAGCUUUAGCUUUCUUCUACUUAGGAAAGUAUCUUUUAAAACAGAUCUGCAUUUGCUUUGAAUGGUUGCUUUCAGGAAGUAUUCAAGGAGCAAACCAGCAUAGAAAGAUUUGCAUGAAAUAAACAUUCUUGUGUUCUGAAGUCUGAAUGUGUUGUAUGACUCUCCUCCAAAUAUUUCUGGAAUCAGUAUUUGGCAUUUUUUCCAAUUGUGAAUCCUGACAGAUUUGGAAGAAUAAAACAGAUCCUGGUUGCAUACAGCAAUGACUUCCUUCUAAAAUAAAUAGUUGCAUGGUAAAAACAGAAGCAUAAAAAUGAGAGUGCAAUGAAUAAAGAAGUUACAGUGUGAUCUGCUUCUCUCUAAAAUGGGCGGUAUUUAGAGCAUAUUAGAGAAUACGAGCAGGAGAAGACUGCUAAAAGUAAAACACUUGUGCAUAACCAAAAAAAAGGAGGGUAAACCCAACUCUGAGAACAGCUUAUAGAUCAUUCCAAGAAACCCACAAAAGCUGAAAAACUACUGAUUCAUUUUUGGGAAGUCAGUGGUCUUCAGCCUUUGCUGGCCAUAGGCAAUGAUGGCAAGCAACUAAUAUAUCAGCCAUAUUCUGUUUUCUUGGCUGUAGUUUUAAUUUCUAAUGGCCUCUAGAAACAGCAAAGCAUCUUAUGAACACAGAGUUACUCUUUAGCCAUACAUGGGGACGACUUUUAUCAGAUGAAACUUCAGCAUCUACUACUAUUUCAUUAUAUUAUUUUCUUCUGUAGUGGAAAAGAUAAACAAAAAAAAAGCUUUCAGAAUGCAAGUAUCUGAGAUCGAGGUAUUAACUGGACAGUAAAGAGGAAAUUCAGGAUUAGCUUUUGUGACAGGAAUCAGAAAGUGUAAGACAUUACACAAAAGGCUGUUUACCUGGAAGGUAAAAUUUCUCUCCUUCAAUUCCCUUUUCCUGCAAGGCAGCCCAGCUUCCUAUCUCCUCUGCCAGUUCUGAAUGUGUGCCUACAAAAUGCAGUUUGCAGUCUAAAUUACUUGCUUUUAAAAAAGGUACUAUAAUUAUUAGCAUCUUCCCUACAGUAUCUCCAAGACAGUUUCCAGAUAUUUCAUCAAAGGAGCAUGAAAAUGUACAUCUUCCCAGAUUUGCAGAAGAGGGUGUCUGCGAGAGAAAAAACUGCAAUCCUCUCUGCAGAGCUGUCGAGCCAAUGAACAAUUUAAAUCUCAUUUGAUCUGUAACUGGAACAGGCUUUGCACAGAACAAGAAUCUUAACACCCAGAUAGGAGCUGCGGGUUGAGUAUUAACAAUGAUAAAAAGACUGGUUAUAAAUUUGUACUGCCCAUUGAAGUGAGAAUUCCUAAAUCUAGCAGCUCUAACAAAGGUAAUUCUUACACUGAUAAGGAAUGAGAAAAUGCAUUCAGCUAAGCAAAGGAAUUUAAAAAUGGUUUAUCAGUGCAAAAAACCUCAGCAGCCAAUCGCUGCACAUGUCUUGACAUGUAAAUACAGAAAUAUUUUAGACAUGAAUGCCGAAAAUAAUCCCAGGGCAACUCAGCCCUGUACAGAAAGCUGGGCAGAUCUUUUGAACUACCAUGGAAUUUUCAGUGCAGGGCAUCUGCAGUGUAUUUCAGCCUCUGGGAAGAGAAAGCAAUACACACCAUUUUUGCUUUGCAAAGAGAAAUAAUGACAAACCCCAUCUGUUUCUUACAAACAUAUAAAUUAUUUUAUUUACAAAGCCAUGUUACAAAAAAAAAUAAUAAUAAAGCAAAAAACAAAAAAUACAAUCGCUCACUAGAGAAUAUCUCCAGGCCCGGUGUUGAACCAUGGCAGUAUCAAUCAGAUACAUGUUUGUUCUGGUUUUCCUUUUUUAAACUGUAAGCCAUAGAAUUUACUAUUUACACCUACUUUAGACAUUUAUUCUGCUUACAAUUAUCACAAGCAUGGAAUGAAUUCUAUUUGAUACUGCUAAUACAUAAAGGUGCAGGACAAAGAAUGAAAAUACUUAGUGUUACAAAAUAUGGAUUGUAGAAAAGAAAUUGGCUGUACAAGUAUGGCAUUUUUUUUCUUAGAAUGAUUGGACAUGCUUUCUUCAAAAGUCUUCUGGAAAAGGUUCUAAAAUCUGUAGUAGGAAAGCACAAUAUAGCAGGUGCAAAUUCAUUUCUGUGCAACAACAGUUAUUUAAUAUAUCCCAUGACUGACCAGCUAUGCAAAACCCACAGAGUUUUGUUAAAGUGCCAUGGGUCAACAGCAUAACAAAA
Non-coding RNA from Taeniopygia guttata (zebra finch), 7589 nucleotides. The record is from RefSeq and is a predicted model, not a curated record. Lineage: Eukaryota; Metazoa; Chordata; Aves; Passeriformes; Estrildidae.